This 115-nucleotide ribosomal RNA is filed under the name Pseudomonas asplenii. The record is from RNAcentral. Lineage: Bacteria; Pseudomonadati; Pseudomonadota; Gammaproteobacteria; Pseudomonadales; Pseudomonadaceae.
CUUGACGACCAUAGAGCAUUGGAACCACCUGAUCCCAUCCCGAACUCAGCAGUGAAACGAUGCAUCGCCGAUGGUAGUGUGGGGUUUCCCCAUGUGAGAGUAGGCUUUAUGUAGA